AAUUUAAAUCAUUUAAUUAUUUAAUUAUUUUUAUUAAAAAUUUUUGACCUUUAUUUUAGGUUCAGGGGUACAUGUGCAGGUUUGUUACAUGGGUAUAUUGCAUGAUGCUGAGGUUUAAUUUUGUACUUUCCUUGCUGUUCCUCAUUUUCUUCAAUUCUACAUUUAUUAAGCAUGCACUCUGUAUUUUUUUCUCACUAUAACAUUGCCAGUCCUCCUUCCUUUCCUCUCUUCCUCCCUCCCUUCUCUCUUUUCUUCCUUCCAUUCCUUUCUUCCUAACUCUCUCCUCUUCUUUUUCAUAAGAGUGAAGAUAUUAAAAAAAAAAAUCAAGCCUAAGUGUGUUGAAAACCUCUGAGAAAAGGAGGUUUAGAAACCUGAGAAAAGGAGGUUUAGAAACCUUAGAAAGACCACAGGGUUAAUUUUGUGACCUAUUUUUAUUUACAGUAGGGCAUAUUAAAAACAAAUUCUUUUUUGUUAACAUUCAGAAUCAGAGGUGGGGAGAGUGGUGGAAGGGCCUGUGGACUUACGGAUGCUGCUGCGACACUCUAUGACCUCAGACUGCAAGUAAGAGCCAAUCCCGAAGCGGUUUGUUGCAGCCACACGGAACACAUACUCAUUUCCUUCAAGAAUAGACACCUUGAUGGCUCCUCUGGCAGUUCUUGAUGACCAUGGAUGAGCUAAUGGCUGUGGUCUCAAUGGUGGCUUCUUGAG
This 708-nucleotide non-coding RNA is filed under the name Pongo abelii (Sumatran orangutan). The record is from RNAcentral. Lineage: Eukaryota; Metazoa; Chordata; Mammalia; Primates; Hominidae.